This 445-nucleotide ribosomal RNA is filed under the name uncultured bacterium. Its description in RNAcentral is "partial 16S ribosomal RNA". It matches the Rfam family "Bacterial small subunit ribosomal RNA", at positions 354 to 796 of the family's 1533-position model. The record is from RNAcentral.
GUGAGGAAUAUUGCGCAAUGGAGGCAACUCUGACGCAGCCAUGCCGCGUGCAGGAAGAAGGCGCUACGCGUUGUAAACUGCUUUUAACCGGGAAGAAACCCCAGGACGUGUCCUGGGUUGACGGUACCGGAGGAAUAAGCACCGGCUAACUUCGUGCCAGCAGCCGCGGUAAUACGAAGGGUGCAAGCGUUAUCCGGAUUCAUUGGGUUUAAAGGGUGCGUAGGCGGAGCGUUAAGUCAGUGGUGAAAUCCUGCAGCUUAACUGUAGACUUGCCAUUGAUACUGGCGCUCUUGAGUGCGCUUGAAUGGGGCGGAAUGUGCCGUGUAGCGGUGAAAUGCUUAGAUAUGGCACAGAACACCAAUUGCGAAGGCAGCUCACUAAGGCGAUACUGACGCUGAGGCACGAAAGCGUGGGGAUCGAACAGGAUUAGAAACCCGGGUAGUCC